This is a non-coding RNA of Trichonephila clavipes, 73 nucleotides long. Lineage: Eukaryota; Metazoa; Arthropoda; Arachnida; Araneae; Nephilidae. The record is from the annotation of a GenBank genome assembly.
GUCCUUGUAGUGCAAUGGAUAGCACGUUGGACUUUUAAUCCGAAGGGCGUGGGUUCGAAUCCCACCUGAGAAG